AGAGUUUGAUCCUGGCUCAGAUUGAACGCUGGCGGCAGGCCUAACACAUGCAAGUCGAGCGGUAGAGAGAAGCUUGCUUCUCUUGAGAGCGGCGGACGGGUGAGUAAUACCUAGGAAUCUGCCUGAUAGUGGGGGAUAACGUUCGGAAACGGACGCUAAUACCGCAUACGUCCUACGGGAGAAAGCAGGGGACCUUCGGGCCUUGCGCUAUCAGAUGAGCCUAGGUCGGAUUAGCUAGUUGGUGAGGUAAUGGCUCACCAAGGCUACGAUCCGUAACUGGUCUGAGAGGAUGAUCAGUCACACUGGAACUGAGACACGGUCCAGACUCCUACGGGAGGCAGCAGUGGGGAAUAUUGGACAAUGGGCGAAAGCCUGAUCCAGCCAUGCCGCGUGUGUGAAGAAGGUCUUCGGAUUGUAAAGCACUUUAAGUUGGGAGGAAGGGCAUUAACCUAAUACGUUAGUGUUUUGACGUUACCGACAGAAUAAGCACCGGCUAACUCUGUGCCAGCAGCCGCGGUAAUACAGAGGGUGCAAGCGUUAAUCGGAAUUACUGGGCGUAAAGCGCGCGUAGGUGGUUUGUUAAGUUGAAUGUGAAAUCCCCGGGCUCAACCUGGGAACUGCAUCCAAAACUGGCAAGCUAGAGUAUGGUAGAGGGUAGUGGAAUUUCCUGUGUAGCGGUGAAAUGCGUAGAUAUAGGAAGGAACACCAGUGGCGAAGGCGACUACCUGGACUGAUACUGACACUGAGGUGCGAAAGCGUGGUGAGCAAACAGGAUUAGAUACCCUGGUAGUCCACGCCGUAAACGAUGUCAACUAGCCGUUGGGAGUCUUGAACUCUUAGUGGCGCAGCUAACGCAUUAAGUUGACCGCCUGGGGAGUACGGCCGCAAGGUUAAAACUCAAAUGAAUUGACGGGGGCCCGCACAAGCGGUGGAGCAUGUGGUUUAAUUCGAAGCAACGCGAAGAACCUUACCAGGCCUUGACAUCCAAUGAACUUUCUAGAGAUAGAUUGGUGCCUUCGGGAACAUUGAGACAGGUGCUGCAUGGCUGUCGUCAGCUCGUGUCGUGAGAUGUUGGGUUAAGUCCCGUAACGAGCGCAACCCUUGUCCUUAGUUACCAGCACGUAAUGGUGGGCACUCUAAGGAGACUGCCGGUGACAAACCGGAGGAAGGUGGGGAUGACGUCAAGUCAUCAUGGCCCUUACGGCCUGGGCUACACACGUGCUACAAUGGUCGGUACAAAGGGUUGCCAAGCCGCGAGGUGGAGCUAAUCCCAUAAAACCGAUCGUAGUCCGGAUCGCAGUCUGCAACUCGACUGCGUGAAGUCGGAAUCGCUAGUAAUCGUGAAUCAGAAUGUCACGGUGAAUACGUUCCCGGGCCUUGCACAAACCGCCCGUCA
RNAcentral lists this ribosomal RNA (1396 nucleotides) under uncultured bacterium. RNAcentral describes it as "bacterial SSU rRNA". It matches the Rfam family "Bacterial small subunit ribosomal RNA". The record is from RNAcentral.